This 1224-nucleotide ribosomal RNA is filed under the name Psychrobacter nivimaris. Its description in RNAcentral is "bacterial SSU rRNA". It matches the Rfam family "Bacterial small subunit ribosomal RNA", at positions 116 to 1336 of the family's 1533-position model. RNAcentral also lists the same sequence under 1 other name. Lineage: Bacteria; Pseudomonadati; Pseudomonadota; Gammaproteobacteria; Moraxellales; Moraxellaceae. The record is from RNAcentral.
CUUAGGAAUCUACCUAGUAGUGGGGGAUAGCACGGGGAAACUCGUAUUAAUACCGCAUACGUCCUACGGGAGAAAGGGGGCAUCUUGUUGCUCUCGCUAUUAAAUGAGCCUAAGUCGGAUUAGCUAGAUGGUGGGGUAAAGGCCUACCAUGGCGACGAUCUGUAGCUGGUCUGAAAGGAUGAUCACCCACACCGGGACUGAGACACGGCCCGGACUCCUACGGGAGGCAGCAGUGGGGAAUAUUGGACAAUGGGGGAAACCCUGAUCCAGCCAUGCCGCGUGUGUGAAGAAGGCCUUUUGGUUGUAAAGCACUUUAAGCAGUGAAGAAGACCGAUUGGUUAAUACCCAUUAACGAUGACAUUAGCUGCAAAAUAAGCACCGGCUAACUCUGUGCCAGCAGCCGCGGUAAUACAGAGGGUGCAAGCGUUAAUCGGAAUUACUGGGCGUAAAGCGAGCGUAGGUGGCUUGAUAAGUCAGAUGUGAAAUCCCCGGGCUUAACCUGGGAACUGCAUCUGAAACUGUUAGGCUAGAGUAGGUGAGAGGGAAGUAGAAUUUCAGGUGUAGCGGUGAAAUGCGUAGAGAUCUGAAGGAAUACCGAUGGCGAAGGCAGCUUCCUGGCAUCAUACUGACACUGAGGCUCGAAAGCGUGGGUAGCAAACAGGAUUAGAUACCCUGGUAGUCCACGCCGUAAACGAUGUCUACUAGUCGUUGGGUCCCUUGAGGACUUAGUGACGCAGCUAACGCAAUAAGUAGACCGCCUGGGGAGUACGGCCGCAAGGUUAAAACUCAAAUGAAUUGACGGGGGCCCGCACAAGCGGUGGAGCAUGUGGUUUAAUUCGAUGCAACGCGAAGAACCUUACCUGGUCUUGACAUAUCUAGAAUCCUGCAGAGAUGCGGGAGUGCCUUCGGGAAUUAGAAUACAGGUGCUGCAUGGCUGUCGUCAGCUCGUGUCGUGAGAUGUUGGGUUAAGUCCCGCAACGAGCGCAACCCUUGUCCUUAGUUACCAGCGGGUUAAGCCGGGAACUCUAAGGAUACUGCCAGUGACAAACUGGAGGAAGGCGGGGACGACGUCAAGUCAUCAUGGCCCUUACGACCAGGGCUACACACGUGCUACAAUGGUAGGUACAGAGGGCAGCUACACAGCGAUGUGAUGCGAAUCUCAAAAAGCCUAUCGUAGUCCAGAUUGGAGUCUGCAACUCGACUCCAUGAAGUAGGAAUUCUGCU